CCUACGGGUGGCUGCAGUGGGGAAUUUUACGCAAUGGGGGAAACCCUGACGUAGCGACACCGCGUGAGCGAAGAAGCCCUUUGGGGUGUAAAGCUCUGUCAACAGGAACGAAACAAAUGACGGUACCUGUGGAGGAAGCAUCGGCUAACUACGUGCCAGCAGCCGCGGUAAGACGUAGGAUGCAAGCGUUGUCCGGAUUUAUUGGGCGUAAAGAGUUCGUAGGCGGUUUGUUAAGUCUGAUGUUAAAGACCGGGGCUCAACCUCGGAAAUGCAUU
RNAcentral lists this ribosomal RNA (275 nucleotides) under uncultured bacterium. Its description in RNAcentral is "partial 16S ribosomal RNA". It matches the Rfam family "Bacterial small subunit ribosomal RNA", at positions 338 to 627 of the family's 1533-position model. The record is from RNAcentral.